ACCUGAGUGGCUCAGUUGGUUGAGCGUCUGACUUCGGCUCAGGUCAUGAUUUUGCAGUUUGUGAGUUCGAGCCCCACGUCAGGUU
This 85-nucleotide transfer RNA is filed under the name Felis catus (domestic cat). It matches the Rfam family "tRNA". From Rfam's summary of the family: Transfer RNA (tRNA) molecules are approximately 80 nucleotides in length. Their secondary structure includes four short double-helical elements and three loops (D, anti-codon, and T loops). Further hydrogen bonds mediate the characteristic L-shaped molecular structure. tRNAs have two regions of fundamental functional importance: the anti-codon, which is responsible for specific mRNA codon recognition, and the 3' end, to which the tRNAs corresponding amino acid is attached (by aminoacyl-tRNA synthetases). tRNAs cope with the degeneracy of the genetic code in two manners: having more than one tRNA (with a specific anti-codon) for a particular amino acid; and 'wobble' base-pairing, i.e. permitting non-standard base-pairing at the 3rd anti-codon position. Lineage: Eukaryota; Metazoa; Chordata; Mammalia; Carnivora; Felidae. The record is from Rfam by way of RNAcentral. RNAcentral also lists the same sequence under 3 other names.